RNAcentral lists this transfer RNA (73 nucleotides) under Loxodonta africana (African savanna elephant). It matches the Rfam family "tRNA". From Rfam's summary of the family: Transfer RNA (tRNA) molecules are approximately 80 nucleotides in length. The record is from Rfam by way of RNAcentral. Lineage: Eukaryota; Metazoa; Chordata; Mammalia; Proboscidea; Elephantidae.
UCCUGGGUGGUGCAAAUGGUUAACAUGCUUGGUUGCUAACCAAACGUUGGAGGUUCAAGUCCCCCCAAAGGUG